AGAGUUUGAUCCUGGCUAUCAACGCUGGCGGCGCGCCUAACACAUGCAAGUCGAACGAGAAAGUGGAGCAAUCCAUGAGUAAAGUGGCGUACGGGUGAGUAACACGUGGGUGAUCUACCUCUUAGUGAGGAAUAACCCUGGGAAACCGGGGCUAAUACCGCAUAAGCCUUAGCAGGGAAAGUCGAAAGACGCUGAGAGAGGAGCCCGCGGCCGAUUAGCUAGUUGGUGGGGUAAAGGCCCACCAAGGCAGAGAUCGGUAGCCGGCCUGAGAGGGCACACGGCCACACUGGCACUGAAACACGGGCCAGACCGGGAGGCAGCAGUGGGGAAUCCUGCACAAUGGGGGAAACCCUGAUGCAGCGACGCCGCGUGAGCGAUGAAGCCCUUCGGGGUGUAAAGCUCUUUCGUCAGGGAAGAUAGUGACGGUACCUGGAGAAGCAGCUGCGGCUAACUACGUGCCAGCAGCCGCGGUAAUACGUAGGCAGCAAGCGUUGUUCGGAGUUACUGGGCGUAAAGGGUGUGUAGGCGGUUCUUUAAGUUUGGUGUGAAAUCUCCCGGCUCAACCGGGAGGGUGCGCCGAAUACUGAGGGACUAGAGUGUGGGAGAGGAAAGUGGAAUUCCUGGUGUAGCGGUGAAAUGCGUAGAUAUCAGGAGGAACACCGGUGGUGUAGACGGCUUUCUGGACCAUAACUGACGCUGAGACACGAAAGCGUGGGUAGCAAACAGGAUUAGAUACCCUGGUAGUCCACGCCCUAAACGAUGCAUAUUUGGUGUGGGUCACUCAGUUGAUCCGUGCCGGAGCUAACGCGUUAAAUAUGCCGCCUGGGGAGUACAGUCGCAAGGCUGAAACUCAAAGGAAUUGACGGGGGCCCGCACAGGCGGUGGAGCAUGUGGUUUCAAUUCGACGCAACGCG
RNAcentral lists this ribosomal RNA (914 nucleotides) under uncultured Acidobacteriota bacterium. RNAcentral describes it as "bacterial SSU rRNA". It matches the Rfam family "Bacterial small subunit ribosomal RNA", at positions 8 to 963 of the family's 1533-position model. Lineage: Bacteria; Pseudomonadati; Acidobacteriota. The record is from RNAcentral.